Molecule: long non-coding RNA, 1995 nt
Organism: Gadus chalcogrammus (walleye pollock)
Lineage: Eukaryota; Metazoa; Chordata; Actinopteri; Gadiformes; Gadidae
Exons: 3
Source: RefSeq, a predicted model, not a curated record
GUUGGGUCCGCGUGGUUCUAAACAGCCGCUAGUACAUAACAUGUCAACGAAAGAUAACUCUUCAGAGGAUUGGAUUUCGACGAUUUUCCCUUGAAACAUCUGAUGUCCUCACGCAGAAGAAGGAUAUUCUCCUUCCAUAGUUUGCACCGCUCCAGGGGUUGUCACCGGCUGCUUUUGGGCCGUCACUUGCAACCGAUGUCACUGCAGGACCUUUUCCUUUGGGUCUGGCGACGUACCUGUCCUCUCUGAAUACACCUCUUCGCUCACUUUGUUUCUCCAGAAGUGCCUUGAUGCACAAAGUAGGUUUGAUUGCCGUUUUUAUUAUUUCGAUACAAAACAACGAGAAGCAAAAAAAUUGAAAAGAAAACGAAACGGAAGGUAUUUAAAAGUGUAGUUGUGUUUUCACCGCACAAGACCGGAAACAUUAAACCUUGGGGGCCUUUCAAAGUAGCUUAUCAGUGUUUGAGAUGGGCCCAACAUAAUAUUGAUAGUUUUAAUGCACCUGUUAUAUUAAUUCUGAAUGGGUUUAUCACACGUAAUGUGUCUCUUCAUCUUGGCACACCCAACCUUUUUAAAUUGUAUAAUAAUCAACUAUAAUUGAUCAAAACUGUCCUGAGUUUAUAAUGCAGUUAUAUCAUCCAAACCUUAAAAUGUCUUGCAAGCUUUGGAAAUCUUGUCUCGAUGACCAGACAUGGAAACUUUAAGUACAGCUGAAGUCAAACAAAUGCAUUUGUGGCUGCUAAAAUUUAUUAUUGGACAGUAUUAUCAGGCCAAGUAGGCCAAUAUAUGUCAUACAAUUACCGAAAAAUAUCUAUAAAGCACAUUUACAAAUCCUAUAAGGCAUACAAGUAUUUUUUUUCCAUAUCAGGCAGUCCGUAAAGAUUUUGUAAAAUCAAAGAAGGGCUGACCUGGAACUGUAUUUUCAUUAAUUAUUUUUUACUGUAUACGUUGUUGUAGUUUCUGCUCUGGCAUGAAAUAAUAAUACAUUUAAUACGAAAGUGCAGAUUUACUUACAGCCAUACGGGGGCGCUAUUUAACCGUAUGUCCCUGGUCGCGAUAAAUUCGGUCCAGAAUGUGGUUUAAAUUAAUUAUUAUUUGAGGUUAUUAUUAACAUAAUGACAAUCUUGUUUAGUUAUGAGCCUUUGAAAAAAAAAAAUAUAUAUAUUUAUGUUUACAUGAUUAUUUACGGUCCAUGUCGUCGAUAGUGUAUUUGGGGCCUUAUAUAGCCGGUACUAUGUUGAUGUCAAGUUAGAAAUAAUGACGCUGUCAAAAAGCUGAAGAUGAAGUAGUUUAGUGGCUUCUAGUAAAAUACAAACGUUCUGCAGUUUCGUGUUUACAACGGAAAUAAGCUGCCAUUGCUUUAUCUUAUAAAUUAUACCUUUUGUGGUUCAAAGUGAUCAAGCUUUUAAUAUAUUUGCUGUGAUGGUUUUUGCUACUCCUUUUUGUAACGGUGGUUGUUUAAAGUAUUUUACGCCUAAUGUGAUAUAUUCUCUCGAAGGCUGCUACUGCAUGCAUUUGAAAUAGUCCCAACCUCAUUUGUACAGACAGAACUAAAUUGGUGAUUUUUAACAUAUGUCAUUAUGUGAACAUAUAUUCACUGUCAUAGCAGGAUGAGCCAAUAAGAAGGGUGUUUCAAAGGGCAUCCUUGAAAUUCAAGUGCCAAACAGGAAUUAACUGAACAUAUUUAUAUUUAUUCUACUACAAUCUGCUGCAUUAUCGGAGGAAGAUAUUGAAGCAUUUAUUUUCAUUUGGUCAAUUUUCAUUAAAAUGUAAUUUGACUCUGUUCAGCUGUGAGUGUGAUUUGGCUCAUCCAGACACUGAUGGCUGAAUGUAAAAUGUGUGUUUUGUAAAGGGAAUGAAUUCCACAUUUUCUUUGACUGCUUUCUGUCCUGUCUGACAUCUCAUAAGCAUCGUAUCACAUACAAAUGCUAAUGUUGGAGAUUUUGUACAUUAUGGACAUUAAACGUUUUGAACUUGUUGGCUCACAGCUUAUUG